GGAAGAAGAUAGAGAAGCCACUAUUUAAAGUGGCCACAGGAGGGGAAAUCUCCACUCACAAAAGGAAAAUUAGAACUACUAUUUGGAAGCUCAUACCAUACCUCAAACUCGCUAAUCGCUUUUGGUGUAGGAAAUUCCAGGGGGUUUCAUGUUCAACCUCCUCAUCACCGAGUAAACUGAAUAAUGUUUGUCCACAGGAUUUGAGAAGCCACUUGGACCUGCCAGGUGAACCUGGAAGAAUCCAGUCAAUUGUGAGGUAACUGGAAUCAUGGUAGCAAUUGCUACAGCCUCGAUGAUAUCAUCACUUAUCAUGCUCCAAAUAUUCACUAAAUCCAAGACCACCAGCACAUUCCUGCAAAGCUUUUGUGUUGAGUUCUCGCCCCAGUCUCCAAACAUAAUUGAGACCAACCAAAAGCUCAGUUAUUGUUGCUUCAGUCUUUUCUUGAUUUGCAAAAUGAAGGGUCUGUACCAGGAGCACAUUUGUUCGUGAAACAAAGUUCUGCUGCUCGAAACUUCGAUCUGAUUGCCAUUUUAUCAUGUUAUGAGCAAGUGGAGCCAGCCAUUCUAAUAUUGUUGUAAUUGCAUUAGUCCACUCUCCUGCAAGAGCAGUAUCAUAACCAGACGAGGUCAAGCUCUUAGAGUAUGGCUUUAGCCUUGCUCUUAGUGAAUUCCUCACUUUUGAAGGCAACAUAUUGUACAAAUCAUCUCUUGCAUCAUGACCAAUUAAGUGAGGAGAUGCAGCUAACUUUUCAAUUACAACAAUAACGUUUGCAUAGUGCAGUGCCAAAGCAGCGGCACCAAGAGUUUCAGGAAGAGCAUCCGACAACUUGAACCUCGAACUGAGUAUUGAUGGUGCAGAAUGAGCCAUGCUGGCUGGAGAAAGGUAGUCAGUGCGAUAUUCAUUGGCUUCAUUAACAUUUCCAGAAUGAACAACUGUUGAACUUAAGUAGCAAUUGACAACAGGUGAACUAUUUGCAGCUACCAUACACCCUUUAAAAGGUCCAACUUGAGUAGAUC
This 1017-nucleotide unclassified non-coding RNA is filed under the name Hevea brasiliensis (rubber tree). The record is from RNAcentral. Lineage: Eukaryota; Viridiplantae; Streptophyta; Magnoliopsida; Malpighiales; Euphorbiaceae.